Helobdella robusta is the source of this 46-nucleotide regulatory RNA element. It matches the Rfam family "Histone 3' UTR stem-loop". From Rfam's summary of the family: The mRNAs of metazoan histone genes lack a poly-A tail. 3' end processing occurs at a site between a highly conserved stem-loop (modelled by this family) and a purine rich region around 20 nts downstream (the histone downstream element, or HDE). The stem-loop is bound by a 31 kDa stem-loop binding protein (SLBP - also termed the histone hairpin binding protein, or HBP). NCBI's taxonomy places the organism in Eukaryota, Metazoa, Annelida, Clitellata, Rhynchobdellida, Glossiphoniidae. The record is from Rfam.
CAAACGGCUCUUUUCAGAGCCACCCAUUCUAACGAUGAUACGCUUG